CCUACGGGUGGCAGCAGUGGGGAAUAUUGCACAAUGGGGGAAACCCUGAUGCAGUGACGCCGCGUGAGUGAAGAAGUAUUUCGGUACGUAAAGCUCUAUCAGCAGGGAAGAAAUAGCGACCUUUGGGUCGCCAGACGGUACCUGAUUAAGAAGCACCGGCUAACUACGUGCCAGCAGCCGCGGUAAUACGUAGUGGGCAAGCGUUAUCCGGAUUUACUGGGUGUAAAGGGCGCGUAGACGGCAGCGCAAGUCUGAAGUGAAAUGCCGGGGCUUAACCCCGGAACUGCUUUGGAAACUGGUCAGCUAGAGUGCAGGAGAGGUAAGUGGAAUUCCUAGUGUAGCGGUGAAAUGCGUAGAUAUUAGGAGGAACACCAGUGGCGAAGGCGGCUUACUGGACUGUAACUGACGUUGAGGCUCGAAAGCGUGGGGAGCAAACAGGAUUAGAUACCCUGGUAGUC
RNAcentral lists this ribosomal RNA (458 nucleotides) under uncultured bacterium. RNAcentral describes it as "partial 16S ribosomal RNA". It matches the Rfam family "Bacterial small subunit ribosomal RNA", at positions 338 to 795 of the family's 1533-position model. The record is from RNAcentral.